RNAcentral lists this ribosomal RNA (253 nucleotides) under uncultured bacterium. RNAcentral describes it as "partial 16S ribosomal RNA". It matches the Rfam family "Bacterial small subunit ribosomal RNA", at positions 524 to 776 of the family's 1533-position model. The record is from RNAcentral.
UACGGGGGGUGCAAGCGUUGUCCGGAAUUACUGGGCGUAAAGGGCUCGUAGGUGGCCAACUAAGUCAGACGUGAAAUCCCUCAGCUUAACUGGGGAACUGCGUCUGAUACUGGAUGGCUUGAGUUUGGGAGAGGGAUGCGGAAUUCCAGGUGUAGCGGUGAAAUGCGUAGAUAUCUGGAGGAACACCGGUGGCGAAGGCGGCAUCCUGGACCAACACUGACACUGAGGAGCGAAAGCCAGGGGAGCAAACGGG